Long non-coding RNA from Panicum hallii, 1316 nucleotides. RefSeq lists it as uncharacterized. The record is from RefSeq and is a predicted model, not a curated record. The transcript has 7 exons. Lineage: Eukaryota; Viridiplantae; Streptophyta; Magnoliopsida; Poales; Poaceae.
AGGUGGGGCAGCCAGACGCUACGGAGGAGGAGGUGCAUGUGGCGCAGGAGGGAGAGGAGGAGGAGGUGCAGGAGAGGACGAGGCGCAGCAGACCGCCUCUGGUUCUGGUGCCUCUGGUUCGUCGAGCGUCUACUUGCGAGGUCCCGCCAGUCUCCCUAAGCGACCGAUACCUCGUGAGAGGCGCCCGUUGAUUCGACCCGAAGGGGAAAAGUCCUGGACGAUUGUGGAGAGUGCAGGUGCUGCUCACAAAUGCUCCGUCAAUGGCAUCCUGGGUCUUCUAUGCAGGGAACACUUCCCUGGCCUGGUUGAGUACGGUGGAGUGACGGAGCCGGCCUAUACGUUCGACCACUACGCCGCCGCCCCUGAUGCCGAAGAUCGGGAUGGCAGGGUAUUCAACAACAAGGCGGAGCGGGUGAAACAAGAGCUGUGGGAUUUCUUCAGAUGUGAGGAUGGAUUUCAGGACAAAGCUGAUGUGGUGGCUACCAAAGUCUGUAAGAAAUGAGUCGUGGAUAUGCACUAUGAGGCGCGUAUCCAGGCCAUUAUUAGUUUUCACGGCUCCGUUCUUGGAGAGAAGGUCACCAAAACGGAAGCAAGAACCAUGUCUUUGACUGAGGAGCAGUACUUGCAGAUGACUCCUUAUUGGUGCCUCGGGCAUCAAGAGUGCUAGCGACAGAUGGUGCAGAAGUGGUGCUCCGACGAGUGGGAGGAGUCGCACAACGCUUGUCGGGAGCGGCGUUUGAUGAUGCCAGGUGUAACACACCAUCAAGGCAGUCGCGGCCUCAGCGGAUACGCAGAAGCAUGGUCGUCGUCACAUGGUGGCCAGCCUUGCUCCCUCUUGAAGGCAUAUGCUAUGUCCCAUAAGGGCAAGGCGACGUUUGACGUCAACUACAAUCCGGAGGACGGGCCCGAGGCAUACAGUAACCUGAUGGUCCAUACCCGCCUCAGUGCGUACACAACGAUGGCAAGGGAGGUCCAUGGUCCAGAGUUUGAUUCGGCCAUCGAGGACCUUGACGGAGAAGUCAUCAUGAGGGUUGGAGGAGGUAAGAAUCAUGGGCGGUAUUGGAUUGCCAACAGCGCAAUCGACUCGUCCUCUACUCCUACUCUAUCUCAGAUUAGAGCAAGGAGAACGAGUGCGAGCCCAGGCAUACGACCUCGGCAAGACACUUCACAGUACCGGAUACAGGCACUCUAGGUCCAAUUAGAAGAAGAGAGGAGGUUACGUGUGGAGAACCAGCACAGGAUGAGGGAUAUGUUUGCCUACAUGCAGACUCUUGGUGCCGCAGCGGGUGUAGCUCCACCACCUUCGUUGUUCGCUU